This is a long non-coding RNA of Pipistrellus kuhlii (Kuhl's pipistrelle), 444 nucleotides long. RefSeq lists it as uncharacterized. The record is from RefSeq and is a predicted model, not a curated record. The transcript has 3 exons. Lineage: Eukaryota; Metazoa; Chordata; Mammalia; Chiroptera; Vespertilionidae.
AGACUUCAAAACCCAAGGGUUCUAAGUGCACCAGACUUCCAGAGCCGACGAACUAAGCAAAGAAAUCUCUGGCUUUCCUGCUUAAUCAAUUAACAUACAAUGUUAUUUAUUAAUCUCACAAUUAUCACUGCCUCCAGAGCUAAGUAUUCUUUAUAGCUCAAGUGGUGUGUGUGUGUGUGUGUGUGUGUGUGUGAGAGAGAGAGAGAGAGAGAGAGAGAGAGAGAGAGAGAGAGAGAGAGAGAGAAAGAGCCAGAGAGAGAGAGUAUGUGUGAAGGAGUUUGGUCUUAAGUAAGGUAAAUGGUGAGAGCUACAGUACUCAUUGAGAUCACAAAGCCAGAAUUACCUGUUUUGUGUCUUGAACCCUUAACAGUAACUCUGCUGCCUAACCCUUUUUGUGGACUGGGUGGUGGUUAGCAGAAUGUAUAGGGGGUCCCAAGAAUUCAU